RNAcentral lists this ribosomal RNA (433 nucleotides) under uncultured bacterium. RNAcentral's name for it is "partial 16S ribosomal RNA". It matches the Rfam family "Bacterial small subunit ribosomal RNA", at positions 29 to 507 of the family's 1533-position model. The record is from RNAcentral.
AACGAACGCUGGCGGCAUGCCUAACACAUGCAAGUCGAACGAGACCUUCGGGUCUAGUGGCGCACGGGUGCGUAACGCGUGGGAACCUGCCCUUAGGUUCGGAAUAACUCCCCGAAAGGGGUGCUAAUACCGGAUAAUGUCUUCGGACCAAAGAUUAUUGGCCUUUGGGGGGGCCUGCUUUGGAUUAGUUAGUCGGUAGGGUAAAGGCCUACCAAGGCGACGAUCACUAGUUGGUAUGAGAGGAUGUUCAGCCACACUGGGACUGAGACACGGCCCAGACUCCUACGGGAGGCAGCAGUGGGGAAUAGUGGACAAUGGGCGAAAGCCUGAUCCAGCAAUGCCGCGUGAGUGAUGAAGGCCUUAGGGUUGUAAAGCUCUUUUACCCGGGAUGAUAAUGACAGUACCGGGAGAAUAAGCUCCGGCUAACUCCGUG